RNAcentral lists this transfer RNA (109 nucleotides) under Salmo salar (Atlantic salmon). It matches the Rfam family "tRNA", at positions 8 to 63 of the family's 71-position model. Rfam says of the family: Transfer RNA (tRNA) molecules are approximately 80 nucleotides in length. Their secondary structure includes four short double-helical elements and three loops (D, anti-codon, and T loops). Further hydrogen bonds mediate the characteristic L-shaped molecular structure. tRNAs have two regions of fundamental functional importance: the anti-codon, which is responsible for specific mRNA codon recognition, and the 3' end, to which the tRNAs corresponding amino acid is attached (by aminoacyl-tRNA synthetases). tRNAs cope with the degeneracy of the genetic code in two manners: having more than one tRNA (with a specific anti-codon) for a particular amino acid; and 'wobble' base-pairing, i.e. permitting non-standard base-pairing at the 3rd anti-codon position. Lineage: Eukaryota; Metazoa; Chordata; Actinopteri; Salmoniformes; Salmonidae. The record is from Rfam by way of RNAcentral.
UGGCUCAGUUGGUAGAGCAUGGUGUUUGCAACGCCAGCAUGGUGUGUGCAUGGUGUUUGCAACGCCAGCAUGGUGUGUGCAACGCCAGGGUUGUGGGUUCGAUUCCCAC